UGAGUUGUUUCUGUCGCAAGUUGAAAUCGAAGAUGGGCAAGAAAUGAAGAAACGCCUUUUUCCUAGGUAUAUAUAUGUGCGACUGCUACACAUAGGAAAGAAUAGGGGAGCUGACAAGUUUUGUGUAGUCAUUUGCUUUGUGAAUCAUUUCCCUAAAUGGAGCUGCUGUAUAUUUAUGAUUUACUACUUACUAGUCUAGUAUAGAAUUAUCUUUUCUCUAAGUUGAAUGCUCAAUUGUAUAAAUUGUUGUGUACAUUGUCUCACAUUUCAUUUCGUAGCUUACUUAGGUCGUCAACAUUUUGAAGUGCUA
Molecule: long non-coding RNA, 310 nt
Filed under: Salvia miltiorrhiza (redroot sage)
Lineage: Eukaryota; Viridiplantae; Streptophyta; Magnoliopsida; Lamiales; Lamiaceae
Description: long non-coding RNA (SMIL_LNC007231)
Source: RNAcentral